UAACUUGAGAGUUUGAUCAUGGCUCAGAACGUACGCUGGCGGCACGCCUAACACAUGCAAGUCGAACGAAGUAGCAAUACUUAGUGGCAGACGGGUGAGUAACAUGUGGGUAUCUACCCUUUGGCCUGGAAUAACACGAGGAAACUUGUGCUAAUACCGGAUAAGUCUUUACGGAGAAAGCUUUAUGCACCAUUGGAUGAGCCCGCACUUGAUUAGUUUGUUGGUAGGGUAAUGGCCUACCAAGACUAUGAUCAAUAGCUGAUUUGAGAGGAUGAUCAGCCACAUUGGGACUGAGACACGGCCCAAACUCCUACGGGAGGCAGCAGUGGGGAAUCUUGCACAAUGGAGGAAACUCUGAUGCAGCGAUGCCGCGUGAGUGAAGAAGGCCCUUGGGUUGUAAAGCUCUUUCGUCGGGGAAGAAAAUGACUGUACCCGAAUAAGAAGGUCCGGCUAACUU
This 457-nucleotide ribosomal RNA is filed under the name Candidatus Pelagibacter sp. RNAcentral describes it as "partial 16S ribosomal RNA". It matches the Rfam family "Bacterial small subunit ribosomal RNA", at positions 1 to 503 of the family's 1533-position model. The record is from RNAcentral. Lineage: Bacteria; Pseudomonadati; Pseudomonadota; Alphaproteobacteria; Candidatus Pelagibacterales; Candidatus Pelagibacteraceae.